GGGGCAGGUGGCGAGGAGGGUACCAGGCCGGAGUGUCCGCCUCAAGUGCAGCCCUGGGACGGGGAGUGGAGGUGGGGGACAUCCCCGGGGAGGCGGCGGGGGUGGGGGUGGGGGAACAUCCCCAGAGGCCUAUGCACCUAUAUUCUGAGACCCCUGGUGACAGACAGCGGUGGGGCCAGAAGGUGGGAACAUGAAAGGACACCCUUUUCCUCUAGUGCCUCCCAUCCCCCUGCUCCAGUGCCUGGGGAUCUAGGACUCAUCCAAAGUGACCAAGACACGGUAUCUGGAAGAGAACAGCCAGGACGAGAAUUACCAUCUAGAAGGAAGGUUCCAGAAUGUUAGGUCACAGACUGGAGGAGACCAGCCAGAAUUCAGGAGAUGACUGGCAACCUCCCCUCCGCUGCCAACCCUAGGGGAGGGCCCCAAGCAAUGAGCAUGUUGAAAGCGGAGCCCCAGCAUCCCUAACUAAGCACCUUGCUUCCCUUGGGCUUUGCAGGAAGGGGAACAGAGGCAAGGGAGCAGUGAAGCACUUGUACCUCUAAUCCCCGUCUGGGGACCUGGGAGCCCUUCCCACACCUCCAGAACGGGGUCCAGGGUGGCUUUGAGGAAGGGAAAGGAAGGACCUGCCACUACCAACCGCAGAGGGAACCAUGUCUCCCAGAGAACCAACAGGAAUGUGGUAUCUCUGAAUAGACCUGAGCUGAGGGGAGACCCCGGAAGCCCCUCCCCUCUUCAGCAGCGUGGCAGAGUAGGGGUUAACAGGGAGAGGCUGCAAGACUGGAGCAGGCGGUGGCUCCCGCCUCCCCCCCCCCCCCCCCGACCCCCAGAGUUGCUGACUCUUCCUUUUUGUUCGGGCUGACAGCGAGCACCUGGUGUGCUCCUGCAACAAUAUUGUUCCUGCCUCCCUCCCUCCAGGCCCCAGGCUCCCCUCUCUCUCCCCCUCCCCACCCGCAGGCAGCCUUCCCCUCCAUCUCCUCUUCCCCCUAGCCCCUCCUGCCACUGGCCUCCUAGGAGCACCCCCCCAACACAACCACAAGCACGGACCCUGCGGUGUCAAUAAACACAACAUAUGCUGCCA
Molecule: long non-coding RNA, 1078 nt
Organism: Bos indicus x Bos taurus (hybrid cattle)
Lineage: Eukaryota; Metazoa; Chordata; Mammalia; Artiodactyla; Bovidae
Source: Ensembl